Molecule: small nucleolar RNA, 117 nt
Organism: Protopterus annectens (West African lungfish)
Lineage: Eukaryota; Metazoa; Chordata; Ceratodontiformes; Protopteridae
Product: small nucleolar RNA SNORA69
Exons: 1
Source: RefSeq, a predicted model, not a curated record
AAAGCAGGUUGCAAUUACAGUGCUUCAUUCUGUGGAAGUACUGCCAUUUCCCUGCUGAGAGUAAAAUUGCUGUUAAUUAGUUGGACUCUUGUUCAGUUUGUAACUGAUUGUUCAGUU